AUUCCUAAGAGAACCUUAUUGUUAACAUAUAAACACACCAUCACCUUUUAAUCUGGGGAGUAGUAUUAUCUUUAAGGGCCUGAGGCUGAACUUUAUUUAAACAUUGAAGAAUUUACAUAUCAGCUCAAAGAAAACAGAGCUAGAAUUUACAGGGUCAGCUCUCAAGAAAAACAGAACUGGAACUCUAUACAUUGCCUCAGAUAGCACACUGAUUACACGACCCUCCAGGGAGAACCCUAUACUCCAAUACUCUCACAGCAAGGAGAAAAAAGCAGGAACAUGAUUCUGAAAGAAAAUGAAACUGGUUAGUAGAAAGCAUGGCCGCAGCUAUUCUGCCAUCUAUAGACACUCCACAAUACAGGCAAAUGCAACUAAUUUUAUUUGUUCUAAGCAGGCGAUUAGGUGCGCAGAAGGAUGCAUGGCACAUCAUUUAUCAAAAAUAUGUUUUCUUCGAGAAGCCCAACUGAUUUGCUCUGUGCCUUUGAGAGCUGUUGAACAGCAACAUCAAAUGGAAGAGUAGCCUCCGGAAGUCAUGCGUUGCAACUCAAAUAGGAACAAAACAUUAUUCCUGGGAUAAACUCCCAGAAAGAAUUUGGAAGCAAAAUCAAAUUUCCUUUACUCGCUAAUUUUGGUCUACACAAGAGAUCAAUUAAACCAAUAUACUGUAUUUUUUCUGUUCUUUAUCAGGCCUUCAUUGGCAUGUCUACAUGGACCAACAAGAAGCACAUCUGGAAACGGGCUGCUAGUAGUGCUUGUUUGCUAAAGAAAUGUUAAGCAUGAUUCAGGAAUAAAAUCACCUUUUUAAUUGCUCUAAACCUUAAUUUUAGAGCGUGGAAUAGUUGCCCACUCCGCCAUUCACCGCUGCAGUCAGCGAGUCACCUCCUCUAUGCUUGCCCAUUGGUGGUUGAUUUCAGGGCCACGUUGGGGUUCCGGUCACCUUCCGUGGCCUCUGUCCGCAAUCUGCCAGAU
Molecule: long non-coding RNA, 969 nt
Filed under: Triticum aestivum (bread wheat)
Lineage: Eukaryota; Viridiplantae; Streptophyta; Magnoliopsida; Poales; Poaceae
Description: long non-coding RNA (TAES_LNC004526)
Source: RNAcentral